RNAcentral lists this ribosomal RNA (638 nucleotides) under Xylariaceae sp. BL321. RNAcentral describes it as "eukaryotic LSU rRNA". The stretch from base 252 to 405 matches the Rfam family "5.8S ribosomal RNA". The record is from RNAcentral. Lineage: Eukaryota; Fungi; Ascomycota; Sordariomycetes; Xylariales; Xylariaceae.
UAGAGGAAGUAAAAGUCGUAACAAGGUCUCCGUUGGUGAACCAGCGGAGGGAUCAUUAAAGAGUUAUCAUAACUCCUAAAACCCAUGUGAACCUUACCUUUGUUGCCUCGGCAGGUCUGCAGCUUACCCUGUAAGCACCUACCCUGUAGGUACUUUACCCGGUAGUUGUAGGAAAGAAACCUGCCGGUGGUAUAUUAAAAAAACCUCUUUGUUUGUUAUGUUAUUCUGAAUUCUAUAAUUAAUAAAGUUAAAACUUUCAACAACGGAUCUCUUGGUUCUGGCAUCGAUGAAGAACGCAGCGAAAUGCGAUAAGUAAUGUGAAUUGCAGAAUUCAGUGAAUCAUCGAAUCUUUGAACGCACAUUGCGCCCAUUAGUAUUCUAGUGGGCAUGCCUGUUCGAGCGUCAUUUCAACCCUUAAGCCCUCGUUGCUUAGCGUUGGGAGCUUACAAAACAACCCUUUGUAGUUCCUUAAAGUUAGUGGCGGAGUUGGUUUCACACUCUAGACGUAGUAAGAUUUAUUAUCUCGCCUAUAGAUGAGCCGGUCUCCUGCCGUAAAAACCCCCUUACUUCUUAAAGGUUGACCUCGGAUCAGGUAGGAAUACCCGCUGAACUUAAGCAUAUCAAUAGCCGGGAGGAAA